Dermatophagoides farinae (American house dust mite) is the source of this 963-nucleotide non-coding RNA. The record is from RefSeq and is a predicted model, not a curated record. NCBI's taxonomy places the organism in Eukaryota, Metazoa, Arthropoda, Arachnida, Sarcoptiformes, Pyroglyphidae.
AAACAACGACAACAACAACAACGACGAGAAUGUAUAGAUUCCUUGUACUUAUAAAAUAUAUAAUGCUGCUGUCCGUAGCAGCUGGUAUGUGAAAAAAAAAUGCAGGCGAGCAAACCCUGAUGAAGAAAAAAAAACGAAUCUCGCGGUGGGAGUAAGAAUAACUUUAGUCGCCGAUGAUUACGACGACGACGCCGUAGACCAUUUCGAUGAUAUAUUACAAUAAUAAAACUGAAUCAUAGAAACUCCAGAACUCCAAUGAGCCAUUCUUUCGUAUUUUUUUGCUAGAAGCAAUAACAUUAUUUUUUUCGGCGCCUAACCAGCAUCCAUUCAACGACGACGACAACAACGACGACGAAGAAAAAUCUAACCAGAAAUAGAUGAUUUGGAUACUGUGUUGUUGUAUUGUUGAAAAUUGGCAACCAACCACCACUAUUACCGGCAUGCGCUGAAAAAAAAUAAAACCAAACAACAAUCUUUGGCGCCCAUCUUAUAUAAAUGGCUAUCUAUUGAAUUUGCGAAAAACAUACAAUCUGAUUAUCUAUGAAUUUAUUCGUUCCAUAUAAUCAAGAGAUGGCACUCGUUAGGGUUGUUGGUAAUUCAAUGAUUAUAUCGAAUGCAAUGAAUGGACAAGGCCAUAAUAUUUGAAUGACGCGUGCUUGUCGCUUGUGUAUUGGAACGUGGCUAAAUAAUAAAAGGCAAAAAAAUGGAAAAAAAAGAAGAAGAAAAAUAAUUUUCCAUUCAAUAUUGAUCGAACGGACAGAUGUGUACCGAAAAUAAGUGUCAAAUAAUGUACGAUAUCAGUCAGUCAGUCAGCCAACCAGCCAACCAGCCAGCUGCUUAAUGAUGGCCGAUUGCCAAGGCUGGGUCAUUCGUAUUUUUUUUUUUAAUGUCUUCCUUUUGUUGUUGUUGUUGUUUUCCUGAAUCGACCUGAAGACUUUUAUACGCUUGACUUGAUUUGAUGAA